UUCAUCCAAUAAGUGUUGAUUUCCUUCUGACAGAUACAGACAUAUGAAUGCUAAAGUUGUGGAAGUGACUAGUCUGUUAUACAAAUCCAAUGAGGCGAAACGUCGGGCGAAGCGUUAACUGUCGCCGAUUCCGGCAUUUACACGUUUUCCAGAAUCAAAACACAAAGGAAGUAGAUGUAUGCUAUGCCUAUCUUUUAAGAAAACAGGGUGGACGGUGAAUGAAAUUUGGAGUCUGGUGAAAUUUAGCGAUGAGAUGAAGGUGUUUUAGGGCAAGGGCAAAAUAAUUUAUGUCUGGAGAAAGCCUGCAGAAAGAUUUCAACCUUCCUGUCUUGUAAUGAACAGCAGCCAGCCAUUCGCCCCGCUUCGCCAUAUCGGAUAUUUUUAAUGGUUUUGGAACUUUGACCGAAGUCAAAGAAAAAAUAUAUAAACUAUAAAAAUAUAUUUCGGUCCCAGAUGAUCAUUUGUGGCCCCUUCUCAAAAAGGAGUUCCCUACAAGUCCCUGGAUAUUUCAGGAGGAUAAAAUUCAAUCCAGUGCAAUAACCUAGACAGACAGUUGAAUGGAAAACAACGAACAAUAUUCCCACACUCACCUGGCCCAGACAUUCAAUUUUUAUUAGUAUUAUGAAAAAUGCAUGUAUGGAGAACAAACAAGAUUCGACCGGAACACCUCCUGGAUGAAAUCAAAAAUCGCCAAGACCAUCAUGUUGUGAAGGAAAUCUUGACCUCUAUCGAUUCGGAGAUAAUUGAAAAACUGUAACAAUAGAUUCCCACACGAUUACGAGCUGUAAUAAAGGCAAAGGUUUGCAUAACCAAGUACCAAUAAGGCGGAGGCAUUUUAUUUUGGUGGAAAAAACAAUAACCAAAAUGUCAGGAGAAAAAAAACGAAUACCAGAAGAUCAUAUACGCUUACCACAAUCAACAAAUAGCACAAGUGGAUGAACUCGUUUUGAAAUAAGUGGUUCCCUCUAACGGAUAAAGCAAUCAGUUUGCUUUAGUAACAUAGUCAGCAAUACAUGGUGUUGGAACAGAGGCGCCUGUGAUUCGAUUUUAGAAUGGUUACAAAAUUAACGUAAUGAUGUACAACAAUAAAUUAUUGAAAAGACGUACUCGACGAAGAAAACUGUUGCAUGGCUAGUUACAGGACAUUUUAUUUUGGAAACCAUACGGUUAGGAGGUACGACAUAAGACAAAGCAUAAAGAAGAAUGAUACCAGUAGUUCGGGAGAAUAAGUAUGAACAAAAUCUGUUGAAAACUUGAUGGUCCUGAGACUUGAACUCAUGCAGAUUUUCCAUCCGUACAAGGUCGAGGCAAGUGCAAUAUUUGAUCAUACUUUCAUUAGGAUCGUGGUACAUGUAUUGAAUGAAAGGUGAAGAUAACGAACAGUGAUCAAUCUCAUAACUCCUACAAGUAAUACAAAAUAGAGAGGUGGGAAACUACGGACCCCUGGACACACCAGAGGUGGGAUCAGGUGCCUAGGAGGAGUAAGAUUCCCCUGUCGACCGGUCACACCCGCCGUGAGCCCUACAUCUUGAUCUGCAAACACACGACUUUUCAGCAUCGAAGAAGAAUCACCAUUUGCAGACAUUUCCGACUUCAGCAUGAAAGACAGGACUAGUAAAGGAAAAGUGACAAGAACGAAGAGUGAUCAAUUUCAUCACUCCCAUAAAGAAUGCAAAAUUACGAGGAAGGCAAAUGCAAACCCCUGGACACACCAGAGUUGGCAUCAGGUGCCUAGGAGGAGUAAGCAUCCCCUGUCAACCGGUCACACCCACCAUAAGCCCUACAUCUUGAUCAGGAUCAUCACAUCUGACAUGGUGUUGACGACUGCAACCCAGAGCAUGAAUCGCUCACCUGGCUCGUAUAAAUUCAAGCAAGCAAGGGGCAUGAUAAUCAUCUUGAAAUUCGGAUAAUUCCAAAACGUAACAAGCUCGCACGGACAGAAAGCCUGAGGGUGCUCUUCUGACGUCCAUCAUUCCGAGUCUUCUCUGAACGCAAUGAAGGAACAUUGGUCGAAGGCUUACAAACCAGUGAAUUCAGGGUCCCCUCAAACCAUGCAACGACACGACCAAGCUGUUCUAGUCCAUGUAAAUGUUACAUAAUCCGAGAAUGGACCCAUAAAUAUUAAGAGAAACAAACAACUUUAUAGUAUUUCUUAAAGAUCAUCACAUCUGAUAUGGUGUUGACGACUGCAACCCAGAGCCUGAAUCGCUCACCUGGCAUGACAGUCAUUUUGAAAUUGGGAUCAUUCCAAAAAGUAACAAGGCUUCUACGGGUCUACUUGAGGAAGGUUUAUACCAAGUACGGUGUGGAAGUUGACCCAGAAGACAAUUGAAAUGUACUUGUUUAUAAAUCCACCGACAGACAGAAGUAAUGCAAUAGUUCACACUGACCAUCGAUAAGCCUGAGGGUGCUCUUCUGACGUCCAUCAUUCCGAGUCUUCUCUGAACGCAAUGAAGGAACAUUGGACGAAUGAUUACAAACCAGUGAAUUCAGGGUCCCCCAAACCAUGCAAUGACACCACCAACCUGUUCCAGUUCUUGUAAAUGUUACAUAAUCCGAGAAUGGACCCAUGAAUAUUAAGAGAAACAAACAACUUUAUAGUAUUUCUUAAAGAUCAUCACAUCUGACGUGAUGCUUACGACUGGGACUUAGAGCCUGAAUCGCUCACCUGGCUGGUAUAACUUCUGGCAAUCAAAAGGCAUGACAAUCAUCUUGAAAUUCGGACCACUUCAAUAAAAAAGAAACGCUUUAGUGGAGGAACGUUUGCGGGAAGCGCGGUGGAGAUACUGCAGUAAAAGACGUUUGAGUUGUAAUGCUUUAUAGAUCCACCAACAGACGGGCUCAAAGAUCAUCAUACAUGUAUCUGACAUGGUGUUGAAGACUGCAACCCAAAGCCUGAAUCGCUGACCUGGCUCGUAUAAAUUCUGCUAAUCAAAAGGCAUAAAAAAAAUGAAGGCAAUUUAGAUUGUUUUAAUAGGUUUUCGUAAGUACUUUUAUAGUCACCAUAGAUAAACCUCAGAGCUCUUUCCUGAAUCUUUUCAAUUUUGCGGGUGUUUUGUUCAGUGCAGAAGUGCCAUGUCAACGGGCAAUAACUAAAAUUUGACAUAAUAAAUGAAUGAUAUAUGGUUAAUUUACCUAAUUUGCUAAGAUGUUUGCCUAUUCGUUUAAGAACAUUUAAUUGCCUUGCUGCCUUUUUACAAAUAUUGGUAAUAUGUGUGUUGAAAGAAAGUUUAAAAUCAAUUGUAAUACCCAACAAUUUUAUUUCUUCAUCACAUGAAAUUUUUAUCCCAUCUAAAUCAAAAACUAUGUUUUCAUUGUGUGUUUUGUUUCCAACAGAGAUAGCUUGGAAUUUUUCUGGAUUUGCCUGCAUUUUGUUUGAUUUAAACCAUUUAAUCAGAUAUCUACUGUCAUCUUGAAGUGCUGUUAUUACAUGAUUUAAAGAUUUAUCUGAUUUUGAUAAAGUAUUGUCAUCUGCAUAGUUGUAGAGAUUACAUUUAUUUACAAAGUGAAAGAGGUCAUUGAUAAAGAUGUUAAAGAGUAAGGGGCCGAGGAUAGACCCUUGUGGCACACCUUUGAUUAUAUUUGACAUGAUACUGGUGUGCUCCCCUACUUUAACACACUGUUUUCUACAUGAGAGAUAGCUACUUAACAUCUCUCGUGCUGCUUUUGAGAGACCAUAUGCUUUUAGUUUAAGAAGAAGUAGUUCAUGAGGAAGGCAGUCAAAGGCUUUAGAAAGGUCCAUUAAAAUUGCUGCUGUGUACUUGUUUUUAUCCAAUGCUUGUUUCCAAUCUUCAAUUACUCUUAAUAAAGUUGACUGACAUCCAAAACCUGACCGAAAAGCUGCCAAAAAAGGAUUGAAAACAUUUUUAAAAAACAUUGUUAACUGAUUUUCAAUUGCUCUUUCAAAAACUUUUGAGAUUGCAGGAAGAACACUAACAGGUCUACAGUUGCCCUUCUCUAAUGAACUAUUCUUCUUGUGUAAUGGUGUCACUUGUGCUAUCUUAAGCUGGUAAGGGAAAGUUGAUGUUGAUAGGGACAUGUUAAUUAGUUGACUUAGAGGUUUGCUGAUAACUGGUAAAGCGAUGUGUUAGAGUUUUGGAGAAAUUCCAUCAAUACCAGUGGCUUUUUUAAUAUUUAUUUUCUUUAUACUUUUUGUUACAAAGUCUUCAGUGACACCUUUAAAGGAAAAUGGAUGUUGUUGUGGUAAUUCUGUUUUAUUUGCUUUUAUUGCCUGUAUACUUGGGUGAUUUUCAUCUACUUGUUCUGCAUCCCCAAUAUUUUUAGCAACAUUUAUGAAAAAGUCAUGACAGUCAUCUCAAACUUCGGAUCACUCAGACAGCAUUUGACCCUAUGAUAGGUAGUAUUGACAAACUACAGCGUUACAACGACCAUAAAAUUUGCGAAUUGUUGACUUUAAACGAGACUGUUGAAACCCCUUUAACAUUAUCUUAUUUGUCAGUAGCUUUCUGUCAGUAGACUACCUCGAUUUAAAAACUGAUCAUACGCAGAACAAGCUCUUGUGUAUUGAAUCAGUCAUGCUUCCCCAACUCUAUAUUAUGUAUUCCUUUUAAGAGUUGUGAAGUUAAGCACUGUUAUCUUCAAUUUUGGUGUAAUGACGUUACCGGGUUAUUCCAACUGAACUAUCAUAAUCAGAAACAUUAUAUACAUAGUUUAACGGCAAACUCAGGUUCAUGACAAACGGGAUGAUUUCAGCUUCUCCAUCGUCAACUUCCCAUAUUUAUGUAACAAGAUUCCAUUAUCACCUUAUGUGGUCAUCAUGUCUCUCAACUGAUUCUAUGCGUGAAAGCAUGUUUUAUGUAUGAUCAAUUUAUGAAUCGCGACAGGCUACUGACAAAUGAGAUUAUGUUACAGGGGUUUCAACAGUCUCGUUGAAAGUCUACAGUUUGCAAAUUAUAUAUCGUUAUAAUGAUCAAAUUUGCAAGUAUAACCCGUGAAUAGGUCAAAUUCAGUCUGGUGUGUUUCAUAGGAAUUGUUAGACCAUUUACCGGUUAACAGGGGAUGGUUACUCUCCUAGGCACCUAAUGUUGCUUCUAGUGUUUCAAGGGAUCCAUGUUUAUCCUACUCGUGAUUCCGCAUCCUUUAUAGAUCAAUGUUCGUUAUCUUUACGUUUUCAUAGAUAUAUAUUCUACUACAAAAAUACCGUCGUAUUUUGAGCACUUUGAUUUUGAUUAACCAUUUAGGUCUGAUAGAUAUAGAAAACAUAGCUACACAGAGCGGUCCAUGUCGGUGUGACUGUUUUUCUGGUGUUCAGCAGACAGGUUCUUAUAAAACUAAGCAGAUAAAACUAUGCAUGUAGAGGUCAUCAUUAUUAUCAUAAUCAACAUCUACAUUUUUGUAUGGAUUAUAUUUAUCCCUGGGCUGAGUUCACGAACUAUAUCUUACUAAUGAUACAAUUCACAACGGGAUCGGAAUUCAAAGUAUAUUUGUCAGCGGGAUAAAAACAGGUUAGGCAAAACGUUUCGUUUUAUCGGAACAGUUAGGCAGAAAAUGCCCCGUACUGCGAAUAUUUCACUUCCUAGUAGCUUAUCUCAAACUUUUCUGAACUAAAAAUACAUGUAUAUCUUAUAACACGGAAACCACGACAUCCUUCAUAUCGUGUGUGUAAGAAGAUGACAACUAAAAUGUUCCUUAUUAGUCAAAAUGUGACAGUAAAGAGUAGUACUCAUUGGAAAAACAAUUGGUAUUGGCUUAAACUAAACCUGUCCUAAGGACACUAAGUAUAUAGACUCUCGUACAUAAUUACCUACCGAGAAAACAGACCUGAAUAAGACACCCCGGGAAAAUGAGACUGUAAUUUCUCUCACGGAAAAAUUAACCCGGGCCCAUCUUAUCUCCCCCUCUGAGAAAAUGCACCCCCCCCCCCCAGUAAAGAAUUUCCCCCUAAUGACAGCACAUCCCUUUACUAUUUCUAGCUAUCUAUCCGUUUCCGGUUCUAUUUCUAGAAUGUACAAUGCAACGUAAAUUCAAAACGUGAAAUCUUAUGUUUAAAUUCAUUUCCCACAAUUAGGCCUUUGUCGACUUACUAAAUUAGUACAUUAAGUUGAGACUAAGCUUACAUUUUUGCAAACAAUAUUUUUAUCUAAAUGAUUGAUUUGCUUGACAAAUACACCAAUGAGUUAUAGCUUUUGUAUACUUUAACAUGUAUAUGUUUUAUGCCGAUUGUUAGGCCGUUCUUGGCACACUGAUUUUGACUACGGAUAACUCCUUUAGGGAGAUCAAGAUAUUGGGCUUACAGUGGGUGCGACCGUUCGACAGGGAAUGCUUACUCCUAAGCACCUGAUCCCACAUUUGGUAUAUAUGGGGGCCCUUGUUUGCCAAACUCUCUGUUUUGUAUUGCUUAUAGGAGUUAUGAGAUAGAUCACUGUUCGUUAUCUUCACCUUGCAUUUAUGUACAAUACAGUAUGUUCCUUAUUUUUCAGAGGAUGUGGAGCUUGGAGGUUGAACCCAUCAUUUGAUCACACAACAAUAUAAAUUAAUUAGAACUUAAUGAUAUUUUUGGUGGAUUUCAUAUUUUUCAUGAUUUAAAUGAAUUUAGAUAUAUACUAGCGGAAAAAAGAAAUUGUGCAUUAUUUAACUUAUGAAAAAAUUAACAAUGAACAAAUUUUAUGUUUUGUAAUACUGUUAACAAAUGUAUUCGUUACAACAUUUCAUAAUCCAUUAAUAUUACUGUCGAAUAAUGUCAAUUUCAGCACACUCGAAAGACACUGGUAUUCGAACUUGAAUUAACAAAGUUCAUAACGUGUGUGACCACCAUUUGCAUUCACGUAUGCUUGACAAUGGCGCCUCAUUGAUGUCACUAAAGUAUUCAGAAAUGCUUGAGGGAUGUUGUUCCAGAUGUUGGUUAAAGCCUGGCCUAAAUCAACCAAUGUCACUGGCUGAGUUGGUAAACGGCGUAGACGUCGUUCGAUUUCAUACCAGACGUGCUUGAUCGGUGAUAAAUCGGGGGAAACAGUUGACUAAGGCAAGACAUCGACAUUCUGUUGAACAAAAAAAGUCCCUGACUACAUGUGCUACAUGUGGCCUUGCGUUGUCUUGCUGCAGAGUGAUGUGAUUUUGCUAUCUCUGUAUGAAGGGUAUCACAUGGCGCUGAAUAAUUUCGUUUCGAUGGCGUACGCCGGUGAGAUUUCCAUUGACAAUUUGUAGAGGGGUCCUUCCACGUGCUGUUAUUCAACUCCACACCAUAAUGCUACCUCCACCGAAUUGUCGACGUUGCACAACACAAGCGUCCUGGUACCGCUCCCCAACGCGACGAUACACUCUACAACGGCCGUCACUGCUAUCCAAAUGAAAUCUGGAUUCAUCAGUGAACAGAAUAUCGCGCAGACGAUUAUGCACAGUUCUUGAACUGAUUGGUCGAAGUCCAGGAAUGCUACGAGCAGUCAACCUUGCUGUCUGCAAACGAUUUCUCAGUGCACAAGUCUAAUGUGGUUGUCCUGUCGACGCGACGUCACACGAAGACGCCCAGAACAUGGUCAAUCCCGGGUGUUACCAGAUUGUUGGAAACGUCUUCAUAAUGACGGGAUGGUAUUCCAAUGAACUUCAGUGCCUUGCUACGUUAUUUUGUGCCAUUCCAGCUAGAAGCAUCCCAACAGCACGGUUACGUUGGUUUUCGCUGAGUCGUGACAUGACAGAAGGGUAAAUUUUGUCAAAACUAAAGUGCUUUCCUUAACGAGUAGUGUCCAAACAAACCUUUUACACUUCUUACUCCAAACAGUAUGGGCCAGUAAUACUCGUGCGUACGAACACUUCAAUAAACAACAUGUGUUCACUAACCAUGAAAAAGUCCGUGCAUCUGAGUUUGGUACGAUCCGAUAUUGUUAAAAAACAUCACCUUUAUCGAUUGUUUAGAUUUUAUGAAUAUAAACAAUAAAUAUAGAAAAAUUAUACUAAAUUUUAUAAUGCAGUUUUUUUCCCCCGCUAGUAUAUAUAUUCUAGUGUAUAAAGUUUGGUGUUUUAUGCAAAUAUAGGAAAUCUUUGAGAUGAAUAAAUAUGUUUUAGCAAUGGUGAAGGUUGUACAAAAUGUUUUACUGAUUUCUAUCUGUUUUAAGUAUUCUGUGUUCUUGAAUGAGUGUCAGAAGCGUUCUUUAGGGAUGAAUGUAUCAUUCUAUUGUACUACCAUUACUUGUAAUGACUACAUAUAUAUGCCAUGGGUCAUCCAGAGAAAUAUUUAUAAGUAACACAUGUAAAUAUGACAUACGUUUCAUGUAAAUAAACAUACAAGUGGCACAUUAAA
Long non-coding RNA from Ostrea edulis (European flat oyster), 8254 nucleotides. RefSeq lists it as uncharacterized. The record is from RefSeq and is a predicted model, not a curated record. NCBI's taxonomy places the organism in Eukaryota, Metazoa, Mollusca, Bivalvia, Ostreida, Ostreidae. The transcript has 14 exons.